GAUGAACGCUGACCGAAUGCUUAACACAUGCAAGUCAACUUGAAUUUGGGUUUUUAACUUAGGUUUGGGUGGCGGACGGGUGAGUAACGCGUAAAGAACUUGCCUCACAGCUAGGGACAACAUUUGGAAACGAAUGCUAAUACCUAAUAUUAUGAUAAUAGGGCAUCCUAUAAUUAUGAAAGCUAUAAGCGCUGUGAGAGAGCUUUGCGCCCCAUUAGCUAGUUGGAGAGGUAACGGCUCACCAAGGCGAUGAUGGGUAGCCGGCCUGAGAGGGUGAUCGGCCACAAGGGGACUGAGACACGGCCCUUACUCCUACGGGAGGCAGCAGUGGGGAAUAUUGGACAAUGGACCAAGAGUCUGAUCCAGCAAUUCUGUGUGCACGAUGAAGUUUUUCGGAAUGUAAAGUGCUUUCAGUUGGGAAGAAAGAAAUGACGGUACCAACAGAAGAAGUGACGGCUAAAUACGUG
Molecule: ribosomal RNA, 467 nt
Filed under: uncultured bacterium
Lineage: Bacteria
Description: partial 16S ribosomal RNA
Rfam family: Bacterial small subunit ribosomal RNA
Source: RNAcentral